GUAACAAGGUUUCCGUAGGUGAACCUGCGGAAGGAUCAUUACCGAGUGAGGGCCCUUUGGGUCCAACCUCCCACCCGUGUUUAUUUUACCUUGUUGCUUCGGCGGGCCCGCCUUUACUGGCCGCCGGGGGGCUCACGCCCCCGGGCCCGCGCCCGCCGAAGACACCCCCGAACUCUGUCUGAAGAUUGAAGUCUGAGUGAAAAUAUAAAUUAUUUAAAACUUUCAACAACGGAUCUCUUGGUUCCGGCAUCGAUGAAGAACGCAGCGAAAUGCGAUACGUAAUGUGAAUUGCAAAUUCAGUGAAUCAUCGAGUCUUUGAACGCACAUUGCGCCCCCUGGUAUUCCGGGGGGCAUGCCUGUCCGAGCGUCAUUGCUGCCCUCAAGCCCGGCUUGUGUGUUGGGCCCCGUCCUCCGAUUCCGGGGGACGGGCCCGAAAGGCAGCGGCGGCACCGCGUCCGGUCCUCGAGCGUAUGGGGCUUUGUCACCCGCUCUGUAGGCCCGGCCGGCGCUUGCCGAUCAACCCAAAUUUUUAUCCAGGUUGACCUCGGAUCAGGUAGGGAUACCCGCUGAACUUAAGCAUAUCA
RNAcentral lists this unclassified non-coding RNA (584 nucleotides) under Penicillium polonicum. RNAcentral's name for it is "sequence contains 18S rRNA gene, ITS1, 5.8S rRNA gene, ITS2, 28S rRNA gene". The stretch from base 218 to 370 matches the Rfam family "5.8S ribosomal RNA". Lineage: Eukaryota; Fungi; Ascomycota; Eurotiomycetes; Eurotiales; Aspergillaceae. The record is from RNAcentral.